UAAGGAAUAUUGGGCAAUGGUCGGAAGACUGACCCAGCCAUGCCGCGUGCAGGAAGAAGGCCCUAUGGGUUGUAAACUGCUUUAGCCAGGGGCUAAACCUACCGAUGCGUUGGUAGCUGAAGGUACCUGGAGAAUAAGCAUCGGCUAACUCCGUGCCAGCAGCCGCGGUAAUACGGAGGAUGCGAGCGUUAUCCGGAUUUACUGGGUUUAAAGGGUGCGCAGGCGGUUGUUUAAGUCAGGGGUGAAAGCCCUAUGCUCAACAUAGGGAUUGCCUUUGAUACUGAACGGCUAGAGUGAAGAUGGAGUGGGUGGAAUGUGUUGUGUAGCGGUGAAAUGCAUAGAUAUAACACAGAACACCGAUCGCGAAGGCAGCUCACUAAUUUUCAACUGACGCUCAUGCACGAAAGCGUGGGGAUCAAACAG
This 423-nucleotide ribosomal RNA is filed under the name uncultured bacterium. RNAcentral describes it as "bacterial SSU rRNA". It matches the Rfam family "Bacterial small subunit ribosomal RNA", at positions 355 to 775 of the family's 1533-position model. The record is from RNAcentral.